Phasianus colchicus (ring-necked pheasant) is the source of this 2851-nucleotide long non-coding RNA. RefSeq lists it as uncharacterized. The record is from RefSeq and is a predicted model, not a curated record. Lineage: Eukaryota; Metazoa; Chordata; Aves; Galliformes; Phasianidae.
GGGUCAGCAGCUGAGGGUGUAGUGUCUUUUUGGAUAGAGACGUGCUCUUCUUGAACUAUUGCUGGUUGUUGGAAGGGCCUGGUGGGGAGAUGCUACCUGAGGAUGGAUUCUCUUUGGUGUGUUGUGUGGAGUCUGGCCAGCUGUGGUGAUGGGAUGGAGCUGCAGUACCAGCUCAGCACUGGGUCCUACCCUGCUCAGUUGACAUCAGAAAAUUAUACGCAUGAAUCACGGAAGCAAUUGUGCAAUGGAGACCUGUGUUCACUCUCCGGCUCCUGCGGAAAACAGGGACUACAAUAGGAAGCCAGUUCAAGAAUAGCAGCUAUGAAAUCCUCCUCUUUGGCUUUUGGGAAGCAAUUCUUUGGAAUGACAUGGCACACACCAGUGAGGCUGGGUUGCACGUGAAAUCAAAGAAGUAGACAUAUUAACAGCAUUGGCUAUAACAGAACUUCUACACAUCCCUCGGCAGAUAGUGCUCCCAGCAUUUUCCUUGGUAUCAAGCAGGCAUGUUCAGAAGCUUCCUAUAUUCAGGAGUUUACGAGCACAAAACCAUCUGCAGAUAUCUAUAGGUAUGAUGAACAGCCUGCAUGCACCCUUCUAAAGCAGAAACAAGCUGGAGAACUGUCUAAGUUAUGCAGUGCACGCUCAAGAAUCUCAGCUACAAGAUAUCUGUGCUUUAUCGGAGGUUUUCCUCUUAGUCUGUGGGUGUGUAGAAAGAAGAAGCUCCACUUGGGAAGUAAGGUAGCUCUUUGGCAGCUCUUCCUGUGGGUGACUUCCCAAACUUUAGAUUAGAGUUAACAUGGUAACUAAGCACUGGCUUGAAAUGAAAAGUCUAGUCUGGGUCCACACUCCAUCAAAAUCAAAGAGCUAGUGCAAAGAGAUUUUUAACUCCAUCUCUAAUUUUAUCUGCUAAUCUGAAACUCUUGGGUUAUGAAAUGGCAGAAUCAUUAAGUGCCUGCAGGUUUUCAAGCUUCAACCUGUGUUUUCCAGCACCAUGUGGGUUUUAUUUAGUUUUGCAUCAGUUUUCACAAGUGCUGCUUGAACCUUCACUUAAAGUGUUUCUAGAACCAUCACAGAAAGGCUUGAGCCUAGCAGCCAGAGAUCAUAUCAAGUGAGACACAGAAAUCAAAGCUCCCAUGGAAACUUCAAAGCUGAGGCACCUCCUUAUGGAUACCACUUCUUAUUGGACAUUUCCUGGAGUUUCCCUCCAUCAGAGAAUCGUUAAGAUUGGAAAGACUGCUAAGAACCAUUGACCCAUCACCACCAUGCACUAAACCAUGUCACUCAAUGGGACAUCUGCCCUCUUCUUGGGCACCUCCUGGGAUGGUGACCCAACCACCUCCCUGGGUGCCCUGUUCCAACACUUCACCAUCACUCGCAUGCAGGCUGGAGAAUCUGAAGUGAAGACUACAGCCAGGUGAUGCAGUAGAGCCAUUGUAUUUCCCAUAAUUUUGUAUAAAGUUACUCUCUUUGUUUAAACAGAUUCCCUUCUUUUUCUCUCAGCCGUGGUAUUUCAAGCAUGAUCAUCUAGGGUUCAAGUGAGGCAAUAGCUUUUAGGAGCAGAAAGUUUAUCUUAUGUAGGAUCAGCGUAAGACAACAGAUAAGCAUCCAGGCACGCAAGGCCAGACGCACUGAAAGGAAUGGCUUAUUUGAAAAGCUUGUCCUCUCUCUCCAGCUUUGUUAGUUUGUGUGCAGAAAGUACUUCUCCCUGCAAAAAAGCCUUGGCCACUCUUGAAAUGCUACAGAGGAGUUUGGGACAUGGCAGUUUGGUUUCCCUGUCAGGAAGUGCUGCUGGACUGUUUUCCAAGAGCUGGAAUGCCAGCCAUAAACACGAGUUAUAUAGAGGUCUCAUGGACUUGGAUGGGAGCAGAUCUGUGUUUUGCACUGCGGACGCUCAAGGCCAUUCCUUGGCCAUGUUACAGGAGCAAUAUUUAUGCAAGGAUGAAACGCGGCGUUGUCAAAGCAUUUGGACAAAUUGAAUACUUUGUUUUCCCUUGCUAUUAUUUAUAAUAGCUCUCUUUGGAAAAAAAAUAAAAAUAAAAAAAAUUAGUUUUUCGAUGAAGGAAUUUUAAUUGGUUUUCAUAGCAGGACUGAGUGACACUGUGGCCCUUUCUCAAGAGCAUAGGGUCUGGGUUUCUUCAUCCCCAGUGAGAAGGGAAGUAGACUGUUACAAGUUUUAUCAGAGGAAAAACAGCACUAGAGAGAGGUCAGUCCUGAGACCUAGCAUGCUUCACUGCCUUGCUCUAGCUACUUGGACAGUGUCCUUCCCCUCUCUGUGGUACCACAGUCCCUCAUGUGCUUCUUCAGACCCAGUGAUGAAGAUUCUCUUUUGAUGACAGGGUUGAUAAGCUUUAUGGCAUCACCCUGUCAAUGGGAGGCAACUGGUUCUUCAACUGUAGAACCAAGAAGUAAUGAUUAAGACUCUUCAGUAGUCCUGUAUGGCCAGCCCAAGGGAGGUUGGAGGCUGUCAGUGGACUAUUGUGGUCUGAAUGGAGUCAUGGCACUGCUAAGUGCUGUGGUAUCAGAUGUACUAGAAGUUCAAUACAAACUGGAGCUGAGGGCAGCCAAGCACUAUGCUACAACUGAUAGUGCCAACUUGCCUUCUUUGAGAGGGGUACAUCUGGAACUGACUGCUCCAGGGGUGGAAACACAGCCCUGCCUGGCAUUCUUUUGUAGAUAGCACACCAAUGUUCAUAAGGUGUUUAUGGUAACCUGCAGAUAACUUCUUUUUGAGUUGCUAGGGAGUAAAAGAUAUGUGUAUGAUGCUAAGGUGUGAUCCUGUCACUGAAUUCUUCCCACCCUUUUGACUCUGUUCCAUCUUUGAUAAAUCCUCUGUGCUUGAAACCAAACUGCU